Saccostrea echinata is the source of this 337-nucleotide long non-coding RNA. RefSeq lists it as uncharacterized. The record is from RefSeq and is a predicted model, not a curated record. The transcript has 3 exons. NCBI's taxonomy places the organism in Eukaryota, Metazoa, Mollusca, Bivalvia, Ostreida, Ostreidae.
UUGAUCAGCAUGGACAUGGUUUGAUGUGUGUUCGGUACCACAUAACAUGCGAGAAUACCUUCUCCAGUAUGUUGGAGAGAAGAUUAGCAAGAAAAAGGCGGGUGAGAAAAUGAGAAGUUGACAGAAAAAGAUGUUUUUCAUUAUCGAAAGGGACAUGUACAACAUCCAUAAUGGUGUGUCUGAUGGAAUUUGUCAUUUCAUUAAUAAAUAAUGCUGAUAAAGAUGCAAACUUAGCAAUUGUGCCUAAAAAGUGACAGCUUUGACAAGGAAAUAUAUCCAUAUAUAACAGUUACUGGUACUGUCUGAAUGCAGUGAAAGGAUCCAGAUGAACAGAUGA